UACGGGGGGAGCAAGCGUUGUUCGGAUUUACUGGGCGUAAAGGGCGCGUAGGCGGCCACCGCAGGUCGGUUGUGAAAUCUCCGGGCUUAACCCGGAAAGGUCAAUCGAUACUGCGGGGCUAGAGUGCAGAAGGGGCAACUGGAAUUCUCGGUGUAGCGGUGAAAUGCGUAGAUAUCGAGAGGAACACCUGCGGCGAAGGCGGGUUGCUGGGCUGACACUGACGCUGAAGCGCGAAAGCUAGGGGAGCGAACGGG
Molecule: ribosomal RNA, 254 nt
Filed under: uncultured bacterium
Lineage: Bacteria
Description: partial 16S ribosomal RNA
Rfam family: Bacterial small subunit ribosomal RNA
Source: RNAcentral